This 863-nucleotide ribosomal RNA is filed under the name Tubaria keralensis. Its description in RNAcentral is "LSU rRNA". It matches the Rfam family "Eukaryotic large subunit ribosomal RNA", at positions 73 to 923 of the family's 3401-position model. Lineage: Eukaryota; Fungi; Basidiomycota; Agaricomycetes; Agaricales; Tubariaceae. The record is from RNAcentral.
GAUUCCCCUAGUAACUGCGAGUGAAGCGGGAAAAGCUCAAAUUUAAAAUCUGGCAGUCUUUGAUUGUCCGAGUUGUAAUCUAGAGAAGUGUUAUCCGCGUUGGACCGUGUACAAGUCUCCUGGAAUGGAGCGUCAUAGAGGGUGAGAAUCCCGUCUUUGACACGGACUACCAAGGCUUUGUGAUGCGCUCUCAAAGAGUCGAGUUGUUUGGGAAUGCAGCUCAAAAUGGGUGGUAAAUUCCAUCUAAAGCUAAAUAUUGGCGAGAGACCGAUAGCGAACAAGUACCGUGAGGGAAAGAUGAAAAGAACUUUGGAAAGAGAGUUAAACAGUACGUGAAAUUGCUGAAAGGGAAACGCUUGAAGUCAGUCGCGUCGUUCAGAACUCAACCUUACUUUUGUGGGGUGUACUUUCUGUUUGACGGGUCAGUAUCAAUUUUGACCGUUGGAUAAAGUCCUUUGGAAUGUAGCUUCUUUGGAAGUGUUAUAGCCUUUGGUCGCAUACAACGGUUGGGAUUGAGGUACUCAGCACGCUGCAAAGCCGGGUUUCGACCACGUUCGUGCUUAGGAUACUGGCAUAAUGGCUUUAAUCGACCCGUCUUGAAACACGGACCAAGGAGUCUAACAUGCCUGCGAGUGUUUGGGUGGAAAACCCGAGCGCGUAAUGAAAGUGAAAGUUGAGAUCCCUGUCGUGGGGAGCAUCGACGCCCGGACCAGACCUUUUGUGACGGAUCCGCGGUAGAGCAUGUAUGUUGGGACCCGAAAGAUGGUGAACUAUGCCUGAAUAGGGUGAAGCCAGAGGAAACUCUGGUGGAGGCUCGUAGCGAUUCUGACGUGCAAAUCGAUCGUCAAAUUUGGGUAUAGGGG